UGAGAUCUGGCUCAUUCCCUUGCUGUGUCUGCUGAGGAUGGGAGUGUUGCUGGCCCUGCUGUGUCAACUCCACUCAGAGUGGAUGCCAUCUUAUCCUGUUGUCUCAGCAAAUUAAGCUUUGGGAAGCCUCAGACAGGGAGUCCUUAAUGCGGGUAUGGAUGUGUUUGAACCAAAUCCCUUGGAGGAACAUCCUACAGCCUCUUCCUUGGUGCUCAUGUUCCCAUGGACACUUCUACCAAGACACAGUGUAUCGCCAUGCUUGGAAGAAAUGAAAUACCAACACUUACAGUCUAUCAAAACCCAUAAAUCUUAACGUAGGCUGUUAAAAUGUAAAUCUGACAGUUUACUGUGAAUUGCAUGCCAAGCAGAAUGUCUCCAGAGGGGUAAAAGACUCUGAAAACCUUGUUCUGAAAGAUGGAUUUACACCUGAGCACACUAACGUAAUAUGAAAGCCUGAAAACAUCUGCCAUCAAGUAAGAUCCAGGAGAUCUGUGUGAAAUUCUGACUACAACCUGUUCUGAACAUGCAGGAGCACAUUGAAAACAUGUGGAGAUGUUGAAGAAACUUGAAGCAGAGGGGCAGUGAGCAGUGGAAAAAGGAUUUCCAUACUUUGAUUUAUUUAAUUUUUUUUAAAUGUCUGAGAAUUGAAAUCUUGAAUGCCUUUGUAAACUCAACAAUAUUUAUGGAAUGUGUGAAUUCAAUUAUUCAAGUUCCUGAACUUAAAAAAUAUUUGGUUUUAAAUUUUGAUCGUGUUAUGGGUAAAAGCUUAUCCUGGCAUGAAAUGACAUUUGGGGGAAGAAGAGUGUGAAGGAAAUUACAUUUUGGUGUUAUAUUUUAAACAUGGUAGUAUGAAGUAUUUUGACAAUUCCUAGCUUUUAUUAGUUUAGGAAUUCAGUUCUAAUGAAAAACUUAAUAAUGGACCAUGACCAGCUCUGCAGAGAAAACACAAAGGCUGUAAAAGUUACAGAAAUAUUGUUAAUGGGUCAAAUUAGAAAAUGAAUACUUUGUAGGGAACAGGAAUAGUAUGCAUACCUGUUCAUUGAAUAGAGAUAACAACUCAGUCUCUCUGAAACAGAUAAACUUACUGAGGCUGGACUGACUUUAAGUGUGGAGGAUGCAGGUUAUUGCAGGCUAUAGAGAGGAAAUACAUGUUUUUUGAUGCUAGAUGAAAUACAUGGUGGGCAAAUCCAAAGCAAUGCAAAUUGGAAGAAAAAGCUUUAAAAUGCUUAUACAUAAGGGAGUGUUCAAAAUUGUUGCAAACCUUAAGAAAAAGGUGUCAUAUUGUUGUGGACCACUUAAUUAUGUCUGCUGAAUAAGCAGAAGUAAAAGAACAAUAAAAAAAGCUAUGAAAUGAGGGAGCAGGCUGCAUUAAGCAACUGUAGAAAGUUGCUAAAAUGAGGAAGUAAAUGAACAAUGCUAUAUGCUUAUUUCUCUAACUCAUCUAUGACGGCAACAGAAACAUUUAAAUGAAAAAGAAAACACAAUUAAAUUGAAUGAAAAUUAAUAUAGCUUUUUGUCCAAGAAACAGUUCUCCAAUUUUCCUCACAUAAUGCUCACUUAUUAUAUAGAUUAGAGUUGAUUUCUUCAUAGUACUCCAUGCUGGCUAUGAGCUGAGACAUGAUAUUGGGCUGGAAAAAAUCUUGAUUUCUUUGAGAAUGGUAAAUUAGAUACUUCCAUUGAUGUAUUUAGACUUGCAGGGAAAACGUGCUUGACAGGGAUUUCAUUCUACGGGCUAGUUUGGGACUGAGAGAUACACAAUUCCUUUUUUACUAUCCAGCAUCUCAUUUGUACCAUUAAUGAGACCUCCAGGAUUUUAAGUGUAAUGAAGGUUUCUAAAGAAAGAUGUUUGGCAUAUUUAUAGAAGGUGUUAAUCUUCUACUUGAUCUUUUCGUCCCAGAUUCCGUUUGUCUUAAAUAUAUA
Molecule: long non-coding RNA, 1920 nt
Organism: Gymnogyps californianus (California condor)
Lineage: Eukaryota; Metazoa; Chordata; Aves; Accipitriformes; Cathartidae
Exons: 4
Source: RefSeq, a predicted model, not a curated record